RNAcentral lists this ribosomal RNA (450 nucleotides) under uncultured bacterium. Its description in RNAcentral is "partial 16S ribosomal RNA". It matches the Rfam family "Bacterial small subunit ribosomal RNA", at positions 354 to 796 of the family's 1533-position model. The record is from RNAcentral.
GUGGGGAAUAUUGGACAAUGGGCGAAAGCCUGAUCCAGCCAUGCCGCGUGUGUGAAGAAGGUCUUCGGAUUGUAAAGCACUUUAAGUUGGGAGGAAGGGCAUUAACCUAAUACGUUAGUGUUUUGACGUUACCGACAGAAUAAGCACCGGCUAACUCUGUGCCAGCAGCCGCGGUAAUACAGAGGGUGCAAGCGUUAAUCGGAAUUACUGGGCGUAAAGCGCGCGUAGGUGGUUCGUUAAGUUGGAUGUGAAAUCCCCGGGCUCAACCUGGGAACUGCAUCCAAAACUGGCGAGCUAGAGUAGGGCAGAGGGUGGUGGAAUUUCCUGUGUAGCGGUGAAAUGCGUAGAUAUAGGAAGGAACACCAGUGGCGAAGGCGACCACCUGGGCUCAUACUGACACUGAGGUGCGAAAGCGUGGGGAGCAAACAGGAUUAGAAACCCGGGUAGUCC